GCCCGCAGGGAGUGGCUGACGGGUUAGUACGCGUGGGAACAUACCCUUUUCCUGCGGAAUAGCUCCGGGAAACUGGAAUUAAUACCGCAUACGCCCUACGCGGGUGAAAGAUUUAUCGGGGAAGGAUGGCCCGCUGGUUGGNUUACCUUAUUGGUGNGGUAGAGGCCUACCAAGGCGACAUCCAGUAGUCUCGUCUGAAAGAUGAUCAGCCAGCAUUGCGGACUGAACACGGCCAAACUCCAUACGGGAGGCAGANGUGGGGAAUAUUGGACAAUGGGCGCAAGCCUGAUCCAUGCCAUGCCGCGUGAGUGAUGAAUGGCCUUAGGGUUGUAAAGCUCUUUCACCGAGUCAANAUAUGACGGUGUCGGAGAAGAAGACCCCGGCUAACUUCGUGCCAAACAGCCGCGGUAAUACGAAGGGGGCUAGACGUANGUUCGGAAUUACUGGGCGUNAAGCGCACGUAGGCGUGAUAUUUAGAGUCAGGGGUGAAAUCCCGCNAGCUCAACUGCAGGAACUGCCUUUGAUACUGGGUAUCUUGAGUAUGGAACGAGGUAAGUGGAAUUCCGAGUGUAGAGGUAAAUUCGUAGAUAUUCGGAGGAACACCAAUGGCGAAGCGGCUUACUGGUCCAAUUACUGACGCUUAUGUGCGAAAAGCGUGGGGAGCAAAACAGGAUUANAUACCCAUGGUAGUCCACGACCGUAACGCAUGACAUGUAGCCCGUCGGAGCAGAUAUACAUGUUCGGUGACGCAGUUAACAGCAUUAAACAUUCCNGCUGGGGANUACGGUCGCACGAUUUAAACUCACAAGGAAUGAUCAGGGGGACCCCACNAGACGGGUGAGCAUGUGGUUUAAUACGAAAGCAGCAGCGACAAACCUACAGAUCUUGAAUUCGGG
This 896-nucleotide ribosomal RNA is filed under the name Rhizobium sp. SB49. RNAcentral's name for it is "bacterial SSU rRNA". It matches the Rfam family "Bacterial small subunit ribosomal RNA", at positions 84 to 991 of the family's 1533-position model. The record is from RNAcentral. Lineage: Bacteria; Pseudomonadati; Pseudomonadota; Alphaproteobacteria; Hyphomicrobiales; Rhizobiaceae.